Molecule: ribosomal RNA, 685 nt
Filed under: uncultured bacterium
Lineage: Bacteria
Description: bacterial SSU rRNA
Rfam family: Bacterial small subunit ribosomal RNA
Source: RNAcentral
CAGAUUGAACGCUGGCGGCAUGCCUUACACAUGCAAGUCGAACGGCAGCACGGGAGCAAUCCUGGUGGCGAGUGGCGAACGGGUGAGUAAUAUAUCGGAACAUGCCUAGUAGUGGGGGAUAACGUACCGAAAGGUACGCUAAUACCGCAUACGUCCUACGGGAGAAAGGGGGGGAUCGCAAGACCUCUCGCUAUUAGAGUGGCCGAUAUCGGAUUAGCUAGUUGGUGAGGUAAAGGCUCACCAAGGCGACGAUCCGUAGCUGGUCUGAGAGGACGACCAGCCACACUGGGACUGAGACACGGCCCAGACUCCUACGGGAGGCAGCAGUGGGGAAUUUUGGACAAUGGGGGAAACCCUGAUCCAGCCAUGCCGCGUGUGCGAAGAAGGCCUUCGGGUUGUAAAGCACUUUUGUCAGGAACGAAAAGUUUUACCCUAAUACGGUGAGACGAUGACGGUACCUGAAGAAUAAGCACCGGCUAACUACGUGCCAGCAGCCGCGGUAAUACGUAGGGUGCAAGCGUUAAUCGGAAUUACUGGGCGUAAGGCGUGCGCAGGCGGUUGUGUAAGACAGAUGUGAAAUCCCCGGGCUCAACCUGGGAACUGCAUUUGUGACUGCACGGCUAGAGUGUGUCAGAGGGGGGUGGAAUUCCACGUGUAGCAGUGAAAUGCGUAGAUAUGUGGAGGA